GUGCUUAACACAUGCAAGUCGAGUGCGCGGUGCCGUAGCAAUACGGUACUGGCGCACGGCGCACGGGUGCGUAACACGUGGGUAAUCUGCCCUCUGAUGGGGAAUAACCCGCCGAAAGGCGGGCUAAUUCCGCAUAACAUUCCCUGGACUCCGGUUCGGGGAUUCAAAGGCGUAAGUCGUCGGAGGUGGAGCCCGCGCCCGAUUAGCUAGUUGGUGAGGUAACGGCUCACCAAGGCAAUGAUCGGUAGCUGGUCUGAGAGGAUGGCCAGCCACACUGGAACUGAGACACGGUCCAG
Molecule: ribosomal RNA, 296 nt
Filed under: uncultured bacterium
Lineage: Bacteria
Description: partial 16S ribosomal RNA
Rfam family: Bacterial small subunit ribosomal RNA
Source: RNAcentral